RNAcentral lists this long non-coding RNA (1003 nucleotides) under Nicotiana benthamiana. RNAcentral describes it as "long non-coding RNA (NBEN_LNC013840)". The record is from RNAcentral. Lineage: Eukaryota; Viridiplantae; Streptophyta; Magnoliopsida; Solanales; Solanaceae.
GCACAGGUUUUCGAAGAAGAACAAGAAGGCUCUAAAUUAUAUAUAUAUAAAUUUCAACUUAAUUAUUAGUAAAAUGUUGAAGACGGAAAUAUUUGAAAGAGCACUUUACCUUCAAAUGGAUGAAGCUGCUGAAACUCCACGUGCAAGUGCAGUGGUCACUUUCUCUGUGAGAGAGAACUGCAUAGCACUUGCAUUAUACGUGUCGGGCCAUAUUAUUUAGUCUUUUUCUCCCCAUAAUUUUUGGGUUUAUUAUACCAUAGAUUAACUUAAAAUACCAGUUAUGCCCUUGGUCGGCCAUUUUUCCUUUUCUAUAAAACUAGUAAGGGGUAGCCCUUCGAGUAGGGGUAAGGCUUGUCUACAUAUUACCCUCCCCAGACCUCACCUGGUGAGAGUAUACUGGGUAGUUAUUGUUGUUGUUGUAGUAAGGGGUAGCCCGUGCUGCGCACGAGCCUAAAUUAUCUAUAAAACUAGUAAGUGUUGAACAACAAACUAAGAUCCAUAACUUAUUGUGGCUUUUCUGCUCAAUUCACUUGAACUUCAGAAGGCCCUGGAUAGUCUUUACUCCAAGGCAGAAAUCUAGGCUUUCCAUUCUUUCGUGAAUAGACAUUAUUCACUUCCAGCAAUACUUCGUAAACACCUAUUACACGCCAAUGAAAUGGAUCAGUUAGCCGACAAAUCUAACAUAUGAAAUCAAAAAGGAAAAAAAAAAAUAACUGCCAUGAAAUUGUAUGGGGAACCUUACAUCCAUGCUUUUUAGAAAAGCUCCACCAACAGUCCACUCUUCAAUUUGAUCACAACGUAUCACAAUUGAUCCACAUAAUUAGUUAUUUACAUCUCUGUUGAUAAGUAAUCCAAUUAAUGAAAGAAAUGAUACUGCAAGAUGGAAAUGUUAAAAUUCUAUAGACAGACCUGAGGUUUUUUGUUCAUAUAAACAAAUAUGCACAAAGGGAGAAUCAUGUUCAUCCAUGUCGUCAGAGAAAGCAACAAAACAACUUGAAAAGGC